This 561-nucleotide ribosomal RNA is filed under the name uncultured bacterium. RNAcentral's name for it is "bacterial SSU rRNA". It matches the Rfam family "Bacterial small subunit ribosomal RNA", at positions 338 to 916 of the family's 1533-position model. The record is from RNAcentral.
CCUACGGGAGGCAGCAGUGGGGAAUAUUGGACAAUGGGCGAAAGCCUGAUCCAGCAAUGCCGCGUGAGUGAUGAAGGCCUUCGGGUCGUAAAGCUCUUUUACCAGGGAUGAUAAUGACAGUACCUGGAGAAUAAGCUCCGGCUAACUCCGUGCCAGCAGCCGCGGUAAUACGGAGGGAGCUAGCGUUGUUCGGAAUUACUGGGCGUAAAGAGUACGUAGGCGGUUAUUCAAGUCAGAGGUGAAAGCCCGGGGCUCAACCCCGGAACUGCCUUUGAAACUAGAUAACUAGAGUCUUGGAGAGGUUAGUGGAAUUCCGAGUGUAGGGGUGAAAUUCGUAGAUAUUCGGAAGAACACCAGUGGCGAAGGCGACUAACUGGACAAGUACUGACGCUGAGGUACGAAAGCGUGGGGAGCAAACAGGAUUAGAUACCCUGGUAGUCCACGCCGUAAACGAUGAUAACUAGUUGUUCGGUCACUUGGUGACUGAGUGACGCAGCUAACGCAUUAAGUUAUCCGCCUGGGGAGUACGGUCGCAAGAUUAAAACUCAAAUGAAUUGACGG